Long non-coding RNA from Mus musculus (house mouse), 467 nucleotides. RefSeq annotates it as predicted gene, 38984. The record is from RefSeq and is a predicted model, not a curated record. The transcript is spliced from 3 exons. NCBI's taxonomy places the organism in Eukaryota, Metazoa, Chordata, Mammalia, Rodentia, Muridae.
AAUAGCGGGGCAUUCUCUUCUUAAUUCUAAUUUAAUUUAAAAUGUUGGACACAGGGUCUGCCAUGUACCCCACGCCGGCCUCAUGUUCUCACUCCUGAGCUCUGACGUCACACAAAGGUUAAGGGGUCAUCUGCUGCCUUAGUCUCAGCUCAGCCUCUUUCCACACACCUGCUGCCACCACUAACCUACUUGUCCCGAGGACACUACUUCCUUCCUGAUUCUGGGCUGUGUGGACUUUUCCAGUGAGGAUUGAGGCUUCAUCGACCAAUCAGAACAGCCUGCUUUCAGGCUUCCAUUGGAUCAUACAAGGACAUGUUGCAACUAAAAAGCUCCUGUUGUAACAGAAAAAAGACACAAAGGAAACCCACAACUCCACUUCUCAGUACCAGCCCAGCAAUGGAGAAACGGAUGGCCAGUUGGCCAGUCGGCUCAACUAUUAUACUAGGGCUGUUAUUCUGCACCCUGUC